AAACUUGAGAGUUUGAUCCUGGCUCAGAACGAACGCUGGCGGCAGGCUUAACACAUGCAAGUCGAACGCACCGCAAGGUGAGUGGCAGACGGGUGAGUAACACGU
RNAcentral lists this ribosomal RNA (105 nucleotides) under Hyphomicrobiaceae bacterium. Its description in RNAcentral is "partial 16S ribosomal RNA". It matches the Rfam family "Bacterial small subunit ribosomal RNA", at positions 1 to 118 of the family's 1533-position model. The record is from RNAcentral. Lineage: Bacteria; Pseudomonadati; Pseudomonadota; Alphaproteobacteria; Hyphomicrobiales; Hyphomicrobiaceae.